Molecule: long non-coding RNA, 18488 nt
Filed under: Gallus gallus (chicken)
Lineage: Eukaryota; Metazoa; Chordata; Aves; Galliformes; Phasianidae
Source: RNAcentral
GUCCAUCUAAAAUCACUGGCGUGGUGUCAGAAGACCUUGUCUUAACCUAGCAGCAAGGCAAGGUUGCAGCUGAGUGAUGCUUCUCCUUCCUGAGCAUGUUUUUCUGUUCUGUUGCAGUGAAUAAGCCACUGAAGUCAGACAGUCUGGAGCUAAUGAGAAGCAACUGGAAAGCAAUAUGAUUUCUCAAGAAAUGGCGACUUACAUCACCAUCUUUCUCCAGCUGACUGCACCACUAAACUCCUGGUCAUCUUUGGCGCAGCAGGAAGAGUCAAAGUCAGAUAUCUUCCAUCUCAUCAGUAGAUGCAGGCAAGACGUUGCUCAGAGCCAUCAGCAAGAUGCAAGUGAGCUGACAGUCAGACUCUUGUACAAGAUUUUCAUGCCUUACAAGGUGCGUAUAUUACUUUAACACAUUUUUUUUUUUAUCUUCUCCCUUUUUUUCUUUCGGUUUCAUAUUUGAUAAUUCUGAUCCCUGAGACUUGUUGAAAAUCAUCUGCUAAUGAUAUUAAGCGAUUCUUACAUUAUACAGUGGUCCUGGUCUUUGUUUUACUUGUACAGAUACAUUAUUGUCUGUCCCUCCAGCAUGCAAUGCUGGGAGAUGUUAUGCAUAUCAGCUGCAUCAUUCGCAAGUUCAUCCUAAUGAAAUUUGGCUAUAGUGGUGAAAGUUCCUUCAGAUUAAAUGAAUAUACUACAUGUUUUUGAUGGUUCAGAUGGCAACCUAACAUCUCUCAUGGCUUAAGAUGGUAUGCACCAUUAGAUUUACAAAGUAUGAAAGCAUAGCAUAUGCUAGCAGAAGUCCCUCAGACUUCCAUGUUAUUUUUCUACUUUCCUUGUAAUGCAAACAAGCAUAAGCCUUGAAAGAUCAGUGAUGCAUAGGUAUGAUUUGGCAGCUACUUAAACAAAACCAAAACUCUGAUGGCAUUUUGCUCUUAAAAGAAAAUCCUGGUGUAUCUUGUUUUGAGGGAAUGGAAGGAAUUGUAAAUGAAAAAGUUUGGACACCAGUGCCUGGCAUUCGUGCAACAUUCUGAGAAGGAGCUGAAAGGCUCUCGAGUGCUUUUCCCUUUUAGUGUCUCUUCAUACUCUUUUUUGGUCUUUCCUUUCUGAUGUGAAAUGUUUGUCUAAUUCAGUAUCCCAAAUUACAUUUUAUAAGUGAAGUUCUUCUAAGAGCCAGUCACCAGGAAGCAUCCACUUUAAUUCAGAGCUGGAAUAUGAAAUCAUACAGUUAGAACAGUACAACGGUAAGUCUUUAAUUUAAUGUAUAAUCCUUGCAAAUCUUCUAGGGCCCAGAGCUCACAAGUUUGUUAUUGUGACUAUCACAAAGAAUAAUGUGGAAAAAGAAGUACACUAUUGUGUGGGAAUAUUCUCAAGGCAACAGGGUCCACAUGUAGUAGAGUUCUAUGUUUGAUGUGGCUCGGUUUAGUUCUUUUACUGUAGUACUUUGCUUAUCUACCACUGCUCCCAUUCCCUGUUUAAUAUUAAUCUCCAGUAUUUGACUGUGAGAAAAUACUAAAGCUCUGAUCAAAAAAUGUUUUUUUUUUUAAUCCAGUAAAAUUGUUUCUUUUGAGUCAUAAAACAGUUCUAAAUGUUGAUUUUCCCAUUAUUACCUGUUUACUUAAUUUCUCAGUAACUCACCAAAAGCCCCGUCAACUGUAGAUGCUGUGUUUCACCAUCACUCUUGGGCCCAGGCUGAGACCAGAGAACACGUCCUGCUGUCAACUGUCCAUGGUUUUGCUUGCUUUGUGUUUGACUCUGGCUUGGAGCUCAGGCUCCAGCUCAUCUCAGCACUGUCCUUUCCAAAGGCAGCUUGGAGCAGCAGGCUGCAGGCUGGCCAAGACAUGGCAGCUUCCACAGUUAUCUCACCUUAGCCAAAAACAGCACCAGAUUGUGAAUUGUCCUGCUAUGCUCCACCAGUGAAAAGGGCUAAUUUUUUUUGUGGAUAUGUUAUGGCUGUGGGCAAGAUGAGGGAAGAACACACUGUCUCAGCAAGCAGACAGCAAUUAAAGACUCUUCCUCUCAGAAAUACAGCGACAGAGAAACACUGGUAAAAUUCAGAUUUAGUCUGGACUCAAUUGCUCUGUCUAUGGCUGCUCCUAUGGGUAUUACAGUUCUGGAAAUACCAGGUUCCCAUUCUGGAGCAGCAGAGCACCAAGGUCUAAUGGAGCUGGCAGGAGUCAUUUCUGUGCUUGAGUACACACUGGUCUGCCCCCUUCACUCCUUGCCCUCAUGGAUUUGAACUGCCUUCAUAAAGAGAAAUGUGCUUUGUUUUUAAUGGUUAUAUGUGACAAUUACAAUUUCUCUUCUUUUAUCAAAAAUACAUCAUUAUUGUCAAGAAUGGGUCAUUUUAUUCACAGCAUUAUAGCUUAAAUAAAAUGUAAAGUCACUAAAAAACACUGAAGCCCUUAUAAGUACCCUUAUUCUAUUAAGCAAAUUGGAAAUAUUAGCAUUUACUGGUUCUCCAAAGGGCUAUUGCGUUCAUGAACAAGAAUCUUCAUCUUAAUAUUUCUCUUCCCACUAAAUUAAAAAUGACAGUAGAUGCAGAGCAUGUAUUGCUACAGACUGUAGCUCUAUGGAAAACUUAGCAUGAUUUCAGAGCUGCAAGCUUAUCUGCUUAAGGACAUUACUAAGAAACCAGAUGGAGGAUAAUUUCCCAAAGCUAACCAUCUGGACCCUGCAAUGAUACACUCUGCCCUAAGCAUUACUCUGGGAAUUGACUUCAUGGUGGGAAAAAAAGCAGUGAAAAAAGGACAAGUGGAGAAAGAAAGUACAUUGUAUUUUACAUUACAAAAUUUGAACCCAAAGAGGCACCAUUUUGGAACAUACUGCAGUUUACUCAUUUUUGUGGUAUAAUCUGUGGGAAAAAGGGAAGAGAAAAUGAGAGUUUAAUGGUUAAUAUAGCAUCAUAGUGAGCUACAUUAGAAAGUAGAGAUGGUAUAUUGUUGUUUUUUUUUUUGUGGAAUUUUGAUUGAAUCAUUAGAAGUCAAGAUGCAAAUGAGUAGUGUAAUGUUUUCUGUUAGAACUGCUGUUUUUUUUUUUACACAGAUUCAUUAUUUUAGGUCUGCUAGGUUAUUUUAUGGAGUUCUGCACUUCAGGUAUUCCAGCCAGGUCUGUGUCCCCAGCUGAGAACUCCAGUGGUUUGCGUAGAAAGGUAAGAAAUACAGCAUGUUCCAUGAGGUUUGUGGAGAACACCAAAUGCCUGUUAACCAGAUCAGGUCAAAGCAAAACUCAAAUGAGUGCAUUUUCUGAAUGUUUCUACUGUAUGAUCUUAAGAUGAAAUUAAUUGGUGAAAGAUUUCAGGUGUCAGAUACACCAGCACUCUUGGGACCAGAAGAUCUAAUGAAAGUUAUUUAUCUUUGAUGGUCAUGGGGGUCUACAACCUAUCUUAUUGGAUGCAAUCUUUAGCUGAAAUUUUCUACGAUGAUAAGGCAUUUGGGUUUGUUGUUGUUUCUCCUGCUAUGAUGGUUUUCAGCAUCUCUGAGUGUCAGCUUUUGUUAUGGGCUUUUCUCUGCCAACGCAGUUAUGGGAUAUUUUCCUACAGGGUAUUCAACUGCUUUUGCUUAGCCUGUAGGAACUUACUGGAGACUUUUUUAACUUUUGACACAUUUUGAAUGAAAUUUGCCAAUGAUUUUUCUUUCAUUAGAAAAUUUGGCUAAUACUGUAGAUUAAAAUAAAUAACAGCAAUAAACUUGAUUCAUGUUGAAGUUCUACUACAUGUUGCAAAACUCAUAUCGCAGGUUAGCUCUAAUGCACUCUGUUAUAGCGUGAGCCUUGUAACAAGCUACCUAUUAUCGCUGAGAAAAUGUCAUCAGCUUCCAUCAAAUGUGAGGAUCUUAUCUAGGGCUUCCAACUGUAGCUCACUUUUUUGUGUGUGUGACAGAUUUAGAACAGUAUGAAGGUGUUAUAAAAACCCAGAGAGCCAUCCAUUCAGCACGUUUUUAGAUGGAAUCCUUAGAAAGAAAUAAAAUGUUUUUAAAUUUUCAUUCCCUUUACCUAGCUAGAGCUGUUGAUUGUUUCUGAUAUGUUUAUGUUACAGCUGUUCUGUAAAGACAGACAAAAUGCUCUGUAAUGGUUUUCAAAAGUUCCAUAACAUUUUUCUUCAGCCUGGCACUGUUUAUAUGUUGUCUUGUCUGCUUAUUGCAUCAGGAUGUCCAGAAGAAAAUAACACAGGCAGAAUUGGAUGUCAGGUAAUCAUCAGUAUGAAAAUGGUUUUUUGUUUGUUUGUUUUUUAAUUUCCCUGAAGAAAAUCUACUUGGGAAAAUCAGUAGCAAAACUUUUUUGUCAGUGAAUGUCACUGCUGUGAAACCGGUGCUUUGGUUAAUGUUGAAAUUGGCUUCAGGUGUUAAUGGCAUGAAAUAGCUUACAGAAGAACAUAACACAAGCCUUCUCCAGCUCUUAAUUUACUUUCAUAUGAGAGUACAAGCAAGAGAAAUAGUGCUGAAAACACAGAACUUAUCUUUCUCUACUCAUCGCUCCUUUUCUUCAUCAGUGUUGCUCUGAAGAACUGUUGGUUUAGCAAUUGGGGUGAGAGGACCGUUGUCCCUUAAACACCUGGCAUUUGGAGGCUUCUAAAGUAUACCAUGAAAAGCAAACAAAAUCUGAAGCGGGACAAACCUUCUUAAGAAGCAUUUUGUAUAAGUUGCCUUGUUGCCAAUCGUGAAUCUUCAGAACUGUCUGCCAAAUGCCUGACACUGAAGUGAUUUAAGACCUGCAUUAGAUCAGCUUCAACUGAGUGUAGCAUGCUGCCCUGGGAGGGUGACUGCUCAAUGAGCAUUCCCCUGGCUCUGAGAAGUGAGAAAAAUAAGUUCUGUUAAAAGAAAGAAUUAAUAGUAAUUUGAAUUGAGAAGCCUAAAUCCUGCCCAGACAUACACUCAGAACAAGUUCAGAGCUCAGAAUGCCGCAGUAAUGCAUAUCAAACUUUCUUUCACAUAAACUCCUCGAAACAUCAGGAUGAAAUGGUUAUCAGGAUUCUGAAGGACUAAGGUCUUCAUGUGUAGUGCUAACAGUUAAAAAGAAGGAAAAGCAACCAAAUUGCCCCUAGUCUGCUCAAGAGCCUGUCACUGCUUCCUAAGUGGUCACGCUACAAAAUCAAAGAAGUAACAAGGUAUGGUUGGUUACCCUUCCAAAAAUAACUGCAAGUAUUAAGUGCUGUCUUUAUGGAGAAGCCAGACCUCCUGCAGUAAGAGGGAAAAUUGAAUUGACUUGCAAGAGGCCAGAAUGCCACCCACAGAGGUGCUUGAUUGCCAGAAAAUGCUGAGUUCCUGCUGCUUGGAAUCACUGCUGUCCGAUAUCCGGCAUUGUACUGAAAGGCCGCCCAGGGAGGUGGUGGAGUCACCAUUCCUUGAGGUGUUCAAGAACCAUGGAGAUGUAGCACUGAGGGACAUGGUCAGUGGGAGCGGUGGAGGUAAAUUUAAGGGCAUGCAUCUCUGGCUGGACUUUUCUGGAAGGACUUUUCUGCAGCCUUUUGCAUUCUCUAUGUUCAGAGGAUAGAAGCUGUAACCAUUCAGUUCUGCAAUCAGGCUUGGCUCCAGUGAAAAUAAAGUUGAAUUCCAACAUAAGGUAACCGGUAAGCUUUUGUGUGAUGGACCACCACCACCAAGAUAACCAGCUUUCAAAUAUGAGGAUAAUGAACACACUGUUUAAGUCCAUGGAACUCUGAUUUACUGUGGCUGAGGCUCUGGAAGAACUUUUUUUUUUCUCUUUGUUUUGUAGACUCAGGUAAGAAUAGUUGCUUAGUAUAUGCAAUCUGCUGCUGUAGGAUGGUUUAAAAGUGAUUUGUAACACAUGACCAAAAUAGAGUACUGGUGUAGCUGUUUACUCCAUGGGGCAAGGUCAGUUCCAGUGAGCUCUGGAGAAUGAUAUACAUGGUUAGGUUUUGCUGUGAUACUGAGAACCGCAAGUAAAGUAAAUGUGAAGAGUGGUACACAAACUAAAAAGCAAAACUGAGCAGCCUGCUCCCUUUCUCUCCCAUCCUCUGUAAAAUGACUGUUAGCACACUAGUCUGGGCAGAAUGGCACGCAAGGUUGUUAUGUUUUGAAGGACAUUUAGUUCUAGAAAAAGCUACGUGCUAAAGUAUAAACAGGACAGCAAAGGAGAUCAAACACAUAGAGUUGUGGUUUGAUUUAGCUGAAAUGUGAAGUACGGCCUCUCCAUGGUUGUCUGAGUUAAAAUCAACAGAAGAGGCAAAAUGCUCUUUUUGAUGUGUUUUCCACUGCUGGAUUUCAAAGACUGUCUAAAAGUGAAAGAGUUGUGAAACUGCAGACAUUUAAUACUAGGUGGGAUGAAGGAAGAGCCAGAAGUGACCUAGAGAGAAUAACUUCCCAGCAGUUAUGUGAGAGGCCCACGAUGAUCCCAAGAUACUUCAGGAGAAAAAAAAAAUAAAAAUCACCUGCACAUGUUGCCAUGGCUUUAGAAAGCAUGAUGUUUAGAAUGAUAUACUACAAACUUAUAUUGGAAAAAUGAGAGAAAUAUCACAUUUGUUUAUCAGCUGGGGUUCUGCCCAAUAUACUCAUGCUAAUCAUAAAAAUGAUUAGGUUGUAUUUCUUCAGAACUGGGAACAGAUGUGUGGAGUAUGACUGACACUCCUUCUAUACUAUUAUCACAGGCAGAUAGCUAUCAGAAAGUCGAUCUCUUCCUGUCUUUGCAAUGUGUCUCCAGGCUGUGAUGAUACUGACACUAGGUAUAUCUUAAGCUGCCUGUAGGUUCCAGAAUGAAUGAGAAAUUUAAUAUGGGAGAAUGUUCCCUGAUGAAAGAGACUUAUUUACUGUGCCCACUUUGUGAUGUCUUCUAAAAGGAGUAGAUAAAAAGCAGGAAAUAAUACAAAGAUAUAGGUGGUUUAUUCAAAUGUGAUAUUAUUCAUCCUAGGAGAAAUAUUUUGCUCAUUGCAGGAUGGAAAACUGAAAGAAAGGAAUGGAAAUGGUAUGUGCCCUGCUAAGCAGAAUUUGGAGCAAGAAGGAAUGAUUUAUGGAUUUAUAAAGGUGCUGGUUCUAAUGGCCAUGAGGAUCAUGAGAAAACCAGAAAGAAUUAGGACAUACAUAUAACCUGAUCUGCCAUAAAUUUGUAGCAGGAACAAUCCUUUAUUAGGUCUUUUAAGCAUUAUCAUAUAUCACCAUAAAAUCUACAUUACUAAAGGCACCAUGGAGAUGUCUUGAAGCUCUUCUUUAAAUCAAAUAAAUAUACCUAGUGCUAGCUGCACUCAUUAAUAAAGUAAGCAACUUUAUUAGCAUUAGGGCGGUUGCUUAUCCUGGCCAUGGGCAAAUUCUCCACUGCUUUCAGCAGCCCACCACCCCUCAUGGGAAAAAUACACAUAUCCAGGGUAAGCUCCUGCUCCACUCCAUUCUGAUGGAUCACUGCCACUCCUUGGGUCUAGGAGCUCCCCAGGAUGCUCACACACCUGAAAACAGAUCUAGGAAAAUGUCAAACAGCAGUGACAAAUGAUAUGCAAAAUCAUAUCAAAGUUUAUCAAUGAAAACUAGAGAGCUGUUAGCUUUAGGAUAGGAAUAAGUGCAAUGAUGGGUGACAGGUGAAGGGUUAGCUAUUCUAUGUGUGACCAAAGGUGUUAUCAAAACUUUUGCUGUUAUCACAAAUAUGCUGAAUGUAAUACUGUGAGUUUGGUACCACAAAUGUAAUACAGAUCACAUAACCUUGUUUUCCAGCCAUCUGCUUAGGAAUACAAAUAAAAAUAUCACAUUAAAAAGAGUCUAAUGCCUUAGGUUUUUACAAAUGUCUAACAAAUAAACAGUUUGAGAGAGAGGAAGAACUGUUAUGCAUAAAAUAUCAUAAAUAAAGGUAGCAUUAUUUAAAGAACAUUUUUAUGUGUUUUGAACAUUUGCAUCUCACAGUUUACCAUGAAAUAUUCUCUUUCCUUAGUUUCAGAGAGGAGACAGACAGCUGGUGGAGUUGCAGAUGUAAGUAUGUUUUCCCAUUUUAAUGUCUUAAGCAAUUGUUUUUCGUGAGAGAGAAGACCAGUUAUGAAAAACAGCGAUUUGUCAGUGCUUUGUCAAGGAACAACAAAGAUUCUGCUGAAGUUGAUAUUAGGCCAACAGGGAUUCUGUGGAGAGUUUCCCUUCAACAAGCAUAGCAUCUCUCAGAGAGGUACAUGCAUACUACGUACUAUACCAACACAAAAAUAAAAAUGUCCUGAUUGAGAAGAUAUACGUAUUCUUGGAAGUACUGAAAUCUGUAGAGGUACAGAUUUAUCUCUUUCUUUCUUUGUUUAUUGUGAUGUUCAUUAGGUUCAAUCUCUAAUGUAGUUGAAACCAUUUCGUUGUAGAGAGAGGGAGAAGAGAAAACCUGUUUAUAAAACAGAAGUAAUAAACCUCGCUGUACAUACUGCCCUUUUCAUGACUUAAAGACAAGUGAAAUUGUUGGGAAGAGAGGAAUUAACAUUAUUACGAGCAAAGAGACUACAGCAGUCUCCUUUUAAAUGGAAUCAUAAAAUAGGUUCAUCAUUUCUUCCUGUGGCAAUUUAAUUCACAAUUUGCACUGUUCAGGUAGAAGCAUACUAAUGGCAAAUUACAGAAAGCAAGUCAUUGUAAUGCAGUGAAUGGCAAAUUCCAUUGUUAUAGUGCAUCAGUGAUUCUCGGUAAGGAGAAAUGAUAUUGCUUUUGCCAAACCUAAGGAAAAAUUCUCAGUACAGCCAGAGAACUGGUGAAACUUAACGAUAUUCUGUAUUCUUAAAACUCACAUCCUCACCUAAAUAGCUCAUGCCAACUGCUCCUGUAAGCCAGGCCUUUAAGUAAAAACAGAUUCAUGAAGGACAAGUCCUUUUUUUUUUUUCCAUGUUAUGCUGGUUGUCUUCUUCAUUUGUAAGCACGUAUAUUCUAUUUUAUAUAAUUUGAAAUCCAACCCAAUUAUUCUGGCUAUCCAUCUGCAAUGUUAGAUAGCAAUGAUUGGCCAUAGGACUGGUAAUAAUGACAGCAGCAACAGUUUAUUUUAGCUACUGGGAUAUUUUUUCCCCUCAAUUGUAUUGCUCUGUGUCAUAUGUAUGUAUGCAUUUCAGAAAAAUAACGUUGGCUGCUUCACGUUUCUAGAAAUUCUGUUUUAAAUUGAUUUGCUAAAAGAGCCAAAGCUAUUUCUCUGUUUUUCCUUCUGGCACAGCAUCUUAUGGUAUUCUCUUAAACAUUAGUAUUUAGUAUGCAUCAUUUAAUGCAAAUAUUCUUGCUUAGGUGAUUGGGCAUGCUUUUAAGAAAGCAUAUACCAAAAUGAAAUUUGCAGCUCUCUAGAUAUUACAUUUAAUUAUCUCAAGAAAUAGAACACAGUGAAAUAUAUUAUUCAUAGCUUUCAAAUUUAUUUUUAAAACUUCUUGGCAUCAUCACAGAAGGGUGGUUCUUCUUGUUUUUAACCUUGAUUUUAUAAGAACCAUCUCUGUGUUCAACAUAACUUGUACACACUUCAGCAAGUGUUCCACUUAAAGGAAAGGGAUAUGUUUGGAAAAAGAGCGAACUUUUGGUCCAAGAGCUGAUACUACUUUAAAAGGUGAUCUUGAAAUCUCCACUGUAAAGCACUAGAGCUAAAAAAAUAAAUAUACCAUGGAUUAUUUCCUGGUUGUUACUUUUAUUUCUAAAUGGACUAUUUUUUAAAUUUCUGGGUCAAGGUUCUUAUAGAUCAUCAAACUGUUGAACACACAUAAACACAGAUAAAACAUUAUAAUCACUUCUCUAGAAGAAAAUAAUGCCCACUCAGCAUCUUUAGCGCCACUUACAUAUUCUGUGGUCUGUAAAAUGAGUCUUAUUUACUUCAUUUACUUAUUUACUGGACUAUUUGGAUCAAACACUGGGUCCAUAAGCACCAGUUCAGGCAUGGUCCCCAGGUAUUCUGGAUUAAAAUAUACAUAUAAAUAAAUAAAGUACACCAUAAUGUAAAAAGCUCAUAGGCUGUAAUCCAGCAACUGACAGGUGGGAAGUCUCAGAGUGAGGGGUUUGAAAAGGAACAACAAAUAUAAUCGGUUAGCAUUGCAAAGUGGGUACCUUUAAGCAAUCCAAACAUAGAUGGCUUGCCUGUCCUUCAUUUCAUAGAAAAUGCCUAGCCUUAUUCCAUAAUAAUUCCUCAUAAUAUAUUUCAUUUUCUGUGCAAAAUUGCAACCUCUUAAAAAAAAAAAAAUAGAACUGCAGUUGCAUAAUUUAAAUUCAGAUGCUUAUUAAAAAUGGACAACUAUGUCAAUGUGUUCCUCAGAAUGCUCUUUAAAAUGUCCUUUGUUUUAAAAAAAAUCACGUGGGAAAUUUUCAAGGCAGAUCAGUUUUUGUAAACAAAAUUAUUAAGAGCUAAAUAUGAGGUUUAUAAUGGAAUUUGGCUGAACUGGUAAGGAUUUAUACCAAUAGUAAAUUACAAGGGCUGCAACAUGGCCCUAGAAUUGGGGGAAAAGAAAAGCUUUUCUGAUGAGCUGAAAAUAACAGCUUUGCCACCAAGUUAGGCUUAAAUAUCAAAAAAGGAAAAAGCUGUCUGUAGUAUCAGACAAUUUUCAUUGAGGGUCCUCAGGGAAUGCUUUUAAAGGGCAUGUCAAAUAAAAAUAGCUCUUCAAAAUGGAAGGAGGGCUUCAAAGAAAAACAAGAAAGGGAAAAUAAGAAAGAAGACACAAAUGCCCUCUUCAUCCUGUGGCAGCAGAUAGGAGAGUCCUGGGACUCUAUUACUGCUUAACACUCAGAAAUGUGGGGAAGUCAUUUUUACAGCCAUGCACAGCUCAGGGAAGUAAUUAAACACUAGCUUCAUUAUAAUUAAUAUGUGUAAGUAGCUCCUUUAUGCAAAUCAUAAUAUCCAUCUAAGCAUGUAGGCUCAGGAACUAUUACAGCUUUUAUUCACAACUGUAUUUAUUUUAUUUUGAAUCAGCUAUUGCCUUAUAUCCCACCACUUUUAAAUUACCCAGUAGAUAACGUGAGAAUAAUACCACAAUUGCAAAGUAAAUUCACUGUGGUUCUCUCUCCUGAUAAUGGAUUAAACUAAAGAAUUUUCUAGCCUGGCUUCAUAUUUUGAAAGCAUAAUUUUUAGGAGCGAGACUCAGCUAUAUUUUAUUUAAGCUGCAAUAAUUUUCAGUCAGUAGUUAAUCUUCCAAUUACCUGAUUUAGUUAAAAUUAUAACCAUCUAAAAGCAUAGGUAGUAUAAUUAGAGCCAUUUGAGAGUUACUGCAAAGACAGUAAUAAAUUAUUCCGUGUCCACGUAGAAUGGUGUACAAAAUAAUGGGAUUAAUUUUCAGCAAAUGAGGUUUAGGUUAGGCUUUAGAAAAAGCUUUGUGAUGCUGAAGAUAGUUGAACAGUGAAAAAUCCUCUCAAUUCUCUAUCUCCAGUGAAGCCCAGAGGUUAAACAAACAUUUGUUCUCAGUAGUUUAGGUAUGGCCCAGCCUUCCUUGGGGGAUGACACCCUACACCUCCAGAAGUUCUCUUCAUUCCAUGCCCAGUUAUUUUGUAUUUUUAUUUUGAAUUGUCAGUACCAUUGUUUUUGCAGUUUUUUAGAGCUGUUUUUUUUUUUUUUUUAAUGUUUUAGAAAGGUUCACUAUGCUGUUAUUUUAUUAAGUCUUUUCUCCAAAUUUAUAUCUCUCUGUGACUAGGAACUGAUUUCUGAGAGCAAGGUAUGUGAUGUUUUGGCUUCAUUUAUAUGGAAAUUCUGAGAUUGUUUUGAGAUUUCAGCUUAUCUUUUGGUCAUUUUAGAUUAACCAAAUGCAAAGAAUAUGAAGAGAUUUUGCAAUUUUGUUAGUUUGCAUUGUAUUCACUCAGGAUCUUCCUGCUGACACUGAAAGCUCCACAGUGAGAGCACUUGGCAGAGACCAAAACACUUAAACUAUUACUGAUAAAGAAGGGCAUUUGUUUGUUCAGAGCAUCACUUUCUAGAUUGCUUAUUGCUUAUAUUCCCCUGGCAGUAUUUUUCACAGUAAUAGAUUUUUUUUUUUUAUGGCUUCCCUUAAAUUGACAUUACAGUGUUAAGAAUGUGUUAUAGAAUAGAAGAAGUAGGGAAAAAAGAAGUAAUUUCUUCGUAGGUAUAUUGUGGUUCUUUGACAGUUGUCUGAAGGCUUUUCAGGUUUUGCAUUAUGUAAGCAAUUCUGAACAAAACAGGACUUGAUAAGCUUUCUUUCACGCAGCUCUGAUAACACAUCUAUCUGCCGCAGUCACCAAUUUGUGCCAAAAUGGGGAGCAAUAAAAAGUUGCCUUUUCGUAAGACAAUAUGUAAGGAUAGGGUUAUAUUAGUAUGCAAAGUCCAUUUACUCAUUACUCACUUUCUGAGAUUUGUGCCUCUAGAGACUUUUUUGUGUUCAGGCCAGAAGAAAACUCAGAUACUUAAAAGAUAUGCAAAUUCUUUAUGGAAUAGGCUCGAAACACCAAAUGAUUUCAAAAAUAUUUCAUGGUAUACUAGAAGCCUGUAACUAUGAGGUUAUGCUAUAUCUAUAACAGGAAGUAAUGAAGAUUCAAGUAAGCUUUUAUUUAUUAAUUUGUAAUCAGAAUUUUAAAUACCUUCCCUAUAAAUAAGCUAUUUAUGAUUAAGUCUAGAAUCUCCCAGGGGCUGUAGCGUACCAGCAUAUUCAUCUAGACAAUUAUAAAUACACAGAAACAUUCAAAGGCUGAUAGUGAUGGGUUUCCAUAUUGCUGGCAUGCUACCAAAAUCUGGUUAGAAAAAGGAAAAUGACAAGCUGUGGUAAUUAUAGUUAGAACAUUGCUGGCUAUUUUUAAAAAUAACAAAUAGAAUCAGAGGCUAAAGAACAGCCAACAACAAACAUACUAAUCACUGAAUUAGGCUGCAUAAGUCUAUUCCAAAACCUAAAAGUUUCAUGUGCUGUGGAACUGAAUCUCGCUAUACAAAUUUUGGAUUCAGUACAGAGAAGCACAUCUAAACCUGGCCCAUGGCAUCAUUUACCCCACAUUUGUUUGCCUUUUCACUGUGCUGUAUUUUGAUGCUUUUGUGUCAUUGAACCUAAUUGCAGAGAAAUUUUCUUCGAUCCUGGAAGAGCCUCAGCUACAAAGAUACUGAAAUAAUGUUGUUAGGGUUAUUCAUAAGGAAAUGGGUACAAUUAUAUUACUUGAGUGAUAUGAAACAUGACUUUUCAAAGUAGUAUAGAUUGCAUUACAGAAAAUUAACUGAGGAAGAUCUAUUGAUCUCAUGUAUUUUUAUGCUUUUUUUUUUUUCAUUUGUGAGUUCACAAGCAGGAGGAAUCAAAAUGUGGGAGACCAGGAGGUCAGGACAGCAUGCUUGAUUGCCUACAUGAAGAGUAACAAGCUUCUUCUCUGGUCCCAUGUGAGCCACCUGGAAACCAUUGAGGAGCACAAGAGCCCCAGUAUCAUCUCAGUGGAUGUUCCAGAGAAACUGUUUGAAUGUCUGUUCUAGAAAGGUACAUGAAUUUAUCCUGCAAUGAAUACAGAAGCAUAGGAGAUGGAGGACAGGACCUUGACCUGAACAGAUCUGAAGAAUGAGAUACAGAAAACAGAAAAAAAAAUCAACUUUUCAUGAAGAGUUGAAAGAAAGAAAAAAGAAGAAAGUGCAUGUCCUUCAAAAAGGAAAUCCUCCAGCAAAUCUGCUAAUGAAGUCCCUGCUCAUUUUGCAUUCUGGAUUUGUCCAAAGAGGUGCUAAAUAUCAGCAGGUAAUGGAGGACGGGAACAAUACUGUUGAGCAACGACAAGCAAGUGAGAUUAAAGCUGAAAAUACUGAUUCUACAAGAACUGCUUGUUCAUGGGAAUGCUGCUGCUACAUGCCAGAAAAUCUAAAGAAGAAAAAUAAUGAAAAGGUGAAGUAAUUUCUUUGAAUUCACAGUAAAUCAGCAGACUCAUGGAUCGAAGUCAGACUAAUAGACCAAGGACAAACACAACUGCGGGGAUUGGCCUCUUCUCCCAGCGUAGGAGAGUUUCAAAGAGGAACCUGACAGAUAUUUGCUCCUGCUGGGCUGAGCUGUGAUGCUGGAGAUUUCAAGAAGAUACUCCACAGCAGUUGAGUGACUUUCUCAUUGCAAGGCAACGCUGGGAAAAGCAUCCUCUCCAGGUAGGAAGAAAGUGUAAAAAGAAGUCCGGAAAUGAGGCUUAUAUCUGAUGGAUAUUGGGUGCUGGCAGGGUCAUACCUGGAAAGAGGUGGUGCACCAAAACUGACAAGGUAGGGAAAUCUUCCAUCCAGGUUUACAGAGAAUAGCAGAGGGUUCACUCUCAUUUUGAUCUGAUAUAAUGCUUUGAAUCUGGGAAAAUAUAUGGUAUAACUUUUCAUUAAAAAAUAUUUAUUUUUUAACAUGUGAGACUAGAUGCAUUUCACAGUUUUAUUUUGCUGUUUCCUGUCUGUCUUUCUUCAACUCUCGUGCCUGUUAAAUGUCAAAAAAAAAAAAAAAAAAAAAAAACGUAUGCAAAGAGGCCAUGAGGGUGCAGGUCUGCUAAAGAGUCUGAGGGUAAUCAAUAAUGUGGAUUUGAUUUUCAGCCAUGCCAAAUAGCUCUGGUUCCACAUGGCAUUAUCAGCACCAGUAAGCAAUCAGUGUUAUACAUGGAGCUCUUUAAGUGCUCUUGGAUUGUUUCUUGAUCGGUAUCUGUGGGGAAAAAGAAGGUAACUUGACUUGUAAAGUUUCAAGAUUCAACCCACAUUUAUUUAUUGUUUCACAAUUUCCAGACUCCUCAUGGGAGUUACAAACAUAAGCCUCCAUCCUUGGGAGCACCAUGUGCUCCUGCACAUCAGUCUUGGGCUGCUGGAGCUUUAUUGCUGCUUUCACAGCUGUUGUGUUCCCAUACAUAAUUAAUAAGCAAACACUUCAUAUGGUAUUGUGAAUGGAUAAUGUUAUUAUAUUGUCCAUCGCACAUUGAAAUCAAAAUGGACCAAGACAAAUUUUUACUAGUAUCUUAGGAGAUCUUGCAGACAUCAGACAGGCUGAGAGAUAUCUGAACAUUAUUUCUAAGGAGGAGAUGAAAGUGUUUCACAACAUAUUGAUCUGUACCUGAGCGUAAAUGAUUAAUGUACUGUGGUCCAACUGCAGCUGGAUUUCUUUUGACAACAGCCAUGAAACAAGCUAUGAUCUCAUAUCCAUUGAUAGAUCGAUAUAUAUAGGUAUGUAUUUUUAUAUAUAGAUGCAUUUACCUUUAUCAUGUGAUUGAGUGGCAGACCUUGCAUUAUAAAUCAAGGCUUGGCAAAAGUGGAAGUAUAAACUUGACACAUUUCUGGAUGUAUGUGAUCUAGUAUUUAUUAGUUUUUUCCUCUCAGUGUGAUUCUCUUUCCAACUUUCCUCAUUUUUGACUGAGAAUCCCUUGAUAGACUCUAUUAUUUCCAAAAUUUUCCUCUAUACUGAAAUACUGUCAAUACUACUUGAAAUGUGUUAUGGAAAGAAUGCCAUUUGUCCACUGCUCUGCUUAAGAUGGGCACUUAUGAGUUAAUUUUUUAAAAUCUCCAUUUUCUUCUGAUGUAAGUAUAAACAAAUAAGAAGGUAAGACUGAAGUUGAAAUGGGGAAAAAUGUGGGCAAGACAAUUAACAUUUGCAAAGCAAUAAGGACUUACCUGAAUAGCUUAAUUGAACACUGGAGACUUCGUGUUUCUGGGGAGAAAGAAGAAUAAAUUCAGUGCCAUUUAACACCGAUGUGUUAAGCAAUGUAAGUUGCUACAUUAAUAAUCUUUCCUGGCAUAUUGAGUGGGAAUUUUGUAUCUAUUUAUUUCUUUAUGCUGUAUCUAUUGCAGGAAUUCUUUCUCCUGUACUCUUUUCUGACAAGCGAACCUCAGUAUGCCAACAGAAUAACUCUGCCUUCCUUGCCACGCACAAUAGACUGUUUUUAAUGCCUUGAUUACAAUUUACAUCUAAUGCCUAGGGAAAGAAGAACCAUUCUGAGAAGCUUUCAAAAUAUGUUUGCAGUCUCAUAACCAACUCAAACUGCAAAUAUGUUUUUCUUUUAUGGGUUUACACUUAGCAACUGAACAUAGUUAUAUCUGCCCAGAAGCCUUGUACAUAAUUACGUCUUGAUUCACACUGGUUCUGGGAAAGCAUUAAGUCAAAAUGGUUAUAAAUAUGUAAUCUGAAUAAUUUGAUUUGUCAGUGAGAAACAUUAUUUAACUACAAUAUUUUGGAUGAAGUCGCUGCUUUCGUUGAAUACUUGCAUUUGUAGUGUAAUAAGCCACUGCAAACCAAUAAUGAAUGGCAAACUUUGGAAGUAUGGAAAUUAUAUUGUCUGAGGAAACCUGCAACACAGUACAAUGAUAACUGGCUCAGUCAAGGGUAAAAUCAAGAGGAAAAAUAGUUAAUUCUAUUUUCUUGACAUUUGUUGUUGCUUUGUUUUGUUUUUUAAACGAGAGAGAGAUUUUUUCCCAGUGCUUCAGAAACCUUCUUCGUAUCACCUCAUGUCAGAAGCAAUUGUAUGGAGUGGAUGUAAAAAGGCCUGGGACAAUUGCACAGUUCAUACUGUAAAGAUGAAAGCAGCCUGCUCUUUCUGGUACAUCUCCGCUUUGAUCUACAUAGUGUGGAAAACUGAGACCUUGCCCAGCAUAAUGCUGCAGGCUUCUGCCGUGUUGCAAGUCCUUGGAACAGAGAGAGGAAAAGGUGCUGUACUCAUACCAUGGCAGUUACAGAAGAACAAAGACUGGUAUAUGCUGAAACUUGUCAGUUGAUGAAGUUAGCUCUGCAAAUGGAUUUAAAAACUUCUUUGUCAAAAAAGUGGAUGCUUAUCACUCAAUUAUUUUUAUGUCCUCAAGCUGAAUCUAUUACUUAUUCAUCACAAUCGUAAUACUAAAUUGAGUUACCAGAAGAGGUUGAGAUUGCUUUUACUUUCCAUCCUUCAAGGGCUGUGAGGCUAGAUACGGCAGGUACUCUGAACCUGUUGCUUCAGGACCCCAGGAAGACUCAAGCCUUUCCAGUAUCAAGUUGUUGACAAAGAUGAGUCCCUGCCAGUAGGAUCCAAGGACUACUUGUGUCACUGCAGUGAGGAGGACAUCACGCAAGUCACAUACAACCAAAUUGCAAGUUAACUGCCGAGCUCAUGAGGGAUAUGCAAUUCUACAAACCUCCCAAAGUAAACUCACAAUUUGCGCUCCCUGAAGGCACUAAAAAUCAACGAGAGUCAUGGAAUACUGGAACAUAUGGAAGAGUUUGCCACCCUUUGCACAAACACACAAGACACCAUUACCCUACAGGGCUACAUCAUAUUUAUGUUUGCUAUUAGAAUGCACCUCAGUAAUACGCACGGCCCCAUUCAAAGUGAAGCAUGGCAACACCUGGUGUUUGUGUGAAACCAUCCCAGAAGGUUUACAAAUUCAAUUAAGAAAAAACGCAAUGAGCUGUGGCAGGGAAGAUAAGUGCUAUACAGGCAGGAAGGCAUUACUUAUAGUGACAAAUCUGCUGGCACCACUCAAGUGUCUGUGCCUAAAGAAGGAGACUGAAUGUGACAGGAAAACAACCCUUAACAGAAAUGUUAUUCUUCUACUUUAUCGAGAUUUCUUAGUGACCUUUGGGAUGCAGUUGCAAUCACACAUCCUUAUCUGUUACAUUUUAAAUUGCUACUGCUUGCUUUCACACACGCACCAAUCCAGUUGAAAUGCAAAACUAUUAAGAUGUACAUAAAGUCGUGAGGUAUCUUAGAGGCUCAGAUAAAACACAGAAAAUUUCAAAACUUCAGAUUCCACUAAGAAUGAAAAAUAAAAAUAAUAAAAAAACAUACCUGAUGAAUGCUUACAUAUGUCCUCUCAGAGUGCUCAGCCUCUGUCUGGUUCCCAAUGCAAGGCAAAGAAUCGUAGAAUCAUUGCAGUUGGAAAGACCACUAAGAUCACCCAGUCAACUCAUCAACCCAUUACCACCAUAGCACUAACCCAGGCCAACCACAUGUAGCUUCCUUCCCACCACUGUGAGUGGAAGACUCGCACAUUCAAUCAUCACAAAGCCAACCAAAUGCAUCCCUGGACUCACUUCAGCCUUUUCCAGCACCCACACUAACAACAGCCCCAAGGAGCUGUGAGAGAACACCUGGGAGCCAGCUUCAGCCUCAGGUACCAUCCAAAACCCUUCCCUUUAGAGUUCCCUGUUCCCUACAGAGGGGAAGCAGAGACAGGCUCUCCUUCAAACAUGUAGCUCCUUUCCUCUCCUCACUUUCCUAAAGAGGUCCUUGGGGUCCUGCUCCCCAGGCUGGGUGUUCUUUCCCUUUUCCUGCUCUAUGCCAUGUGAAAGGAAACUGACCACUCACAGAGGACUGAUGCUGUCUUCUUGUCAGAUGCUGUGUUGUGCAGUUGCACCGCAUUGGACGCAUUUUGCACAGCCCCACAAUUUUAGUUUGUGUUAUAAUUAACAAAUACUCAUUGACAUAGCAAAGAAAUUAAACAUUCUCAUGCUAUUCACAUUAUACAUUAUUAAGACAGGGAAGAGUCUCCUCCUAAUGCUGCCUUUGAGCCACAGUUUACUUAUUCCACUCAAGAUAAACAGCACCCUGCUCUGUUUCCCUACCGUGACAAUGUCUCUGUGAAGUAAUGUGCAGCUCAUUCUAAUUAGCCGAAUUUCAUGCUCUCCUACUUUGUUAUUGUUGAGCUCUUAGUUUGCGCUCUGGGCUUCAGUGCUUUUUUGUGGCCAAGAAAACACAGUGAUUGCC